GAUGAACGCUGGCGGCGUGCCUAAUACAUGCAAGUCGAGCGAACAGAUAAGGAGCUUGCUCCUUUGACGUUAGCGGCGGACGGGUGAGUAACACGUGGGUAACCUACCUAUAAGACUGGGAUAACUUCGGGAAACCGGAGCUAAUACCGGAUAACAUUUGGAACCGCAUGGUUCUAAAGUGAAAGAUGGUUUUGCUAUCACUUAAAGAUGGACCCGCGCCGUAUUAGCUAGUUGGUAAGGUAACGGCUUACCAAGGCGACGAUACGUAGCCGACCUGAGAGGGUGAUCGGCCACACUGGAACUGAGACUCGGUCCAGACUCCUACGGGAGGCAGCAGUAGGGAAUCUUCCGCAAUGGGCGAAAGCCUGACGGAGCAACGCCGCGUGAGUGAUGAAGGGUUUCGGCUCGUAAAACUCUGUUAUUAGGGAAGAACAAAUGUGUAAGUAACUGUGCACGUCUUGACGGUACCUAAUCAGAAAGCCACGGCUAACUACGUG
This 497-nucleotide ribosomal RNA is filed under the name uncultured bacterium. RNAcentral describes it as "partial 16S ribosomal RNA". It matches the Rfam family "Bacterial small subunit ribosomal RNA", at positions 28 to 507 of the family's 1533-position model. The record is from RNAcentral.